CAGCAGCCACGGGAAUACGAAGGGGGCUAGCGUUGUUCGGAAUCACUGGGCGUAAAGGGUGCGUAGGCGGGAUCUUAAGUCAGGGGUGAAAUCCCGAGGCUCAACCUCGGAACUGCCUUUGAUACUGGGGUCCUUGAGUCCGGAAGAGGUGAGUGGAACUGCGAGUGUAGAGGUGAAAUUCGUAGAUAUUCGCAAGAACACCGGUGGCGAAGGCGGCUCACUGGUCCGGAACUGACGCUGAGGCACGACAGCGUGGGGAGCAAACAGGAUUAGAUACCCGGGUAGUCCCUGUCUCUUAUAC
RNAcentral lists this ribosomal RNA (301 nucleotides) under uncultured bacterium. RNAcentral describes it as "partial 16S ribosomal RNA". It matches the Rfam family "Bacterial small subunit ribosomal RNA", at positions 509 to 807 of the family's 1533-position model. The record is from RNAcentral.